Molecule: ribosomal RNA, 292 nt
Filed under: Epidares nolimetangere
Lineage: Eukaryota; Metazoa; Arthropoda; Insecta; Phasmatodea; Heteropterygidae
Description: partial 12S ribosomal RNA
Source: RNAcentral
AGAGGAAUUUGUCCCUUAAUCGAUAGUCCUCGUUUUAUCUUGCUUUAUCUUGUUUUCAGUAUGUAUAUCGCCGUUAUAAGUAUAUUUUUUAAGGAUUAGAAUUUACUUGAUAUUUAGUUUAUAUUAUUUCAGGUCAAGGUGCAGCUGAUGAUUAAGUGGUGGUGAAUUACAAUAUUAUUAUAAAUAAAUGGAUUUUUGUUUUAAAAAUUGAAUGAAGGUGGAUUUGUUAGUAAUUAAAACGAUAAUAUUUUUUUGAUUGUGGCUCUAAAAUAAGUACACAUCGCCCGUCGCU